Mycena filopes is the source of this 90-nucleotide non-coding RNA. The record is from the annotation of a GenBank genome assembly. Lineage: Eukaryota; Fungi; Basidiomycota; Agaricomycetes; Agaricales; Mycenaceae.
GGCUCAGCAGUGGAUGGUCCACACCUGCGUUUCGUAUACUGUUUCCAUUUGUCCAGCAGGAGAACACCCGUUCGAACCGGGUCUGAGCCA